Molecule: transfer RNA, 72 nt
Filed under: Salix viminalis (osier)
Lineage: Eukaryota; Viridiplantae; Streptophyta; Magnoliopsida; Malpighiales; Salicaceae
Source: RNAcentral
GCGCCAGUAGCUCAGUGGAUAAAUUGUUUGUUUCCUAAACAAAGGUCAAUGGUUCGACCCCUCUGUAGCGCG